GCGAUUUUUGGCCCAUUUUGAGCCGAUUUUUGAGUCGUGCAACCGUUUUGGUGAUCGGCCGAUUGUGGUCUUCAUCGUGUGUCGUGCAUCGGGUAGUAUACAUGGGGUAACGUGAAGCGAUUAACACCUCAUGACACCUCACGACCAGCUCCCGAUCGUCAAUCGCUUGGUCGAGGUUUGAAAUCCUCACGACCGUCCUGAGGGUGUCACCGCAGCCGCUCACACUGCGCACGCGCAAACACAUAAACAUCGGUGAGAAAGACGGAGUAGCACAGCAGUGCAGCGUGUGAUCUGGACACAAGCGAUGGAGGCACAACUUGUAGAACUUUGGAAAGCUCAUCCGAGCCUUUUCGAUGUGGCCUCACAAAAUUAUCACGACCACAACAACCAUGAAAAAUGUUGGAUCUACAUUGCUGCUCAAUCACAGCUGCUUGAUCAAUGUUUUUCAUUAGCAAUUUAGCAAAGUUGAUGGUGGUGUGUGUGUGUGUCUGUGUGAGUGAAAGACAGAGAGGCAGAGCGAGCGACAAAAUUUCUGUUACAACCUUCAUUUUAUGGAUGCACAGUGUGAGCACUCAGAUCGCAUCAGAGCAUCAGGCCGUAUAGUGUGAGACCCUGCAUCGUGACCUAUGAACUUCUAACCAAUCGAGCAGUUUGAGCAGGAGCUGAAUAGCGCGACUGAAAAAUUCGCUCAGUGUCUGCCCAGCUUAAGGACAGCGCAGCGAGACCUCUCUGCUCAUGAGCAAACACAAAAAAACAGCUCAGAUCCAGACUCAGAUUUGGUGCCUUUCAGUGUCUGAAGAUGUGUUCGAGUCUCUCCACCAGCCGCCUGAUUCUUCUGAUCUCCCUGAGUGUGAUGAUGCUCAUCUCUGUAUCAGGGGCUGAACACGUGGGGAUACUCUGCUAUGAAAAUCAUUCUAACCAAAAUGCAAGAACCACAAAGGGUACACCUGUAUGGGCCAAAAACAUCAUCAGCUGCUUUGAACAAAACAGACAUGGCUGCCUUCAUGGCUAUGAGGUCAAAACACAAGCGCCAAAAACACGUGCAGAAAGAACAUUUUUCCUCAAACCAAACACCGAGUGGAUAAAAAGGAAAAUAAAUGAGGGAACUCUGCUGUGUCCUCCACAGAUUUCUAAAUGAUGAUAAUGGAAACGAUGAAACAAAAGCUGUAGGACACAAGACCCUAGUGUUUUUUGCCCAUUAUUCAUUAUUAAUUCUUUUCUUCUUCUUUUCUUUUUUCUUCUUCUUUCACCACCACAGGGAACUCUGCUGUGUCCUCCAGUGUUUUCAAAUAAACAUGUAUAAGCUAUUAAUCUUUAAUGAGUCCUCCCACUGUAGUUUGUAUAUUCCAACUGCACUACACUGUUUAGAAGCAGUGACUGUCUGUCAUCUUGUCUCGUAGGUUUCUUAAUUCACACAGUGAUUUUCAUAGAUUUAAUCUAAGUAUAGAUGAUGAAAAUGAUGAAACAUAGUUAAAGUAAAGCAGCUGCUGGAAACAUUUCUGCUCAUUUAUUAGUUCACACUUUGACAGAAAUAUUUGUUAAGAAAUGUAAAUUAUUUUUUGCAAAUUAUUCAUAGCACCUUAACAGUCUUAUGUUCACACACACACACACACAUAUAUAUAUAUUUAUAUAUGUACAAUACAAAGCAAUUUUACUAUAUAACAUGUUUAAAGCCAGGGGGUACACCAAAUUGCUUCACAGUAAGGAAUGAACAGUAAAAUGAUAACACUGAACAGUAAGUCAUUAAAAAAUGUAAAAUAGAGAAACAAACAAAGGCAUUAGUAAGUAGGGAUUGGCAGAAUUCAUGAUAAUCCAGAGAAAUGAGUAAAGAUACGCCAGUUAGUGAUUGGUGAGAAUUAGCAAAUAUACUACAAAUAUCAUUAAAUAUGAAUGUUAUUCUGUCUUCAAGCUGAGAACAAAGAUAAAUCAAUAAAAGCUUCUGAAAUCAGA
Molecule: long non-coding RNA, 1950 nt
Organism: Oreochromis aureus
Lineage: Eukaryota; Metazoa; Chordata; Actinopteri; Cichliformes; Cichlidae
Source: Ensembl